GCGGGGCUACCCGCUGAGUUUAAGCA
Molecule: ribosomal RNA, 26 nt
Filed under: Tripodanthus flagellaris
Lineage: Eukaryota; Viridiplantae; Streptophyta; Magnoliopsida; Santalales; Loranthaceae
Description: partial 28S ribosomal RNA
Source: RNAcentral